UCCCCCUGUAACUAUUCCAGAUUGUACAGGGUGUCCUGGUCCUGCCUUUGCAUUUUGAUACUCUAGAAUAAAGUUCACACAUAUGCCAGGCAGGUGUCUGAAGCCUGCCUCCUCAUUCUUUUGAUCUCCACUAGUUCAGUUAUCAGUUCCUCUCCUGGGGCUGGUUUUGGGAACUUGCAAACAACUGGUCCUGUACACUUUGCACUAACUCCAAACUGUCUCCUGACUGGCUUAUUUCCCCUCCUUUUACCACCUAUUUCUCAGUUGAGAAUGGGGAUGCACCUUACAUGACCCCAAGCUCUCUUUCUUUAUGAUUCUUGUACUUGUGAGGAAAUAUCCAAGUGCUCAUAAAUGUUUAUAUCUUUCCAUAGGGUAGUUAACUACUGUUUCAUAAUUCAGAGCUGUUAAGAGUUUAGGGUUUCAGUAACUUUGAUCCAUAUAACAUAUCUGGUCAAAACCAAACAAAUAAAUAAAAUAACUAUUCUAUCAUGAUUGAUUCUGUUUUUACAGAUGUGCCAUUCUUAACAUACUGCUGUCCUUGGAAUCAUAGCUUCACACCUGAAAAGGGGCAAUAGCAUUAAGUAGCAGUUUGGGUCUUUCUUUGACAUAUUCCCUUGAGAAGUGUUAAAUGUUGCCAUUCUUGACAGUUCAAAAGCAAGUCAUAUGGUUGAUAUUUUGCCAAUGAGAUAAAUGUGGAAAAAUGUCACUUUUCCUUUAAUUAGUUCUGUCAGUAGAAACUUGGCAAGAGAUGAUAGUAAGGAGAUAUUGGCAUUUAGGCAUGUUCAUAUUUACUUUUGUGAUUUAGAAUUAUGAUGACUUUCAUGUAUCCUUACAGUGACCCUGUCUGGUUUAGAACUUCUGAAAUUCCAGCAUCAAACCUCUUUCCCAUUCCUCCAGACAGAGACAGCAACAUUCACCAACACUGGAGUUUUGAUCAGAUACAGACUCUAAGAUGCAAAUAUCCUACUUCUGCUUCAAAAAGAGAAAAUGGGAAUUGGAAGGAGAACACAAGUCUUAAAGAGACAAGGGAAUGAAUGCCCAUGGAAGUUUCUCCAUUUCCUCAGCCUCUCACUCACUGCCUAGCUCCCAGCAUCAAAGAGCAGGAGAACUGGAAAGAGUGGCUUCAUUGAGACAAUGAAGGCAUUAUGGAUUCAAGAUUCAUACCUAUUCUAUGAAGGAUCAGUGAACCCCCAGUGGAAACUUGGGGUUUUGAUUACAGAACAUUGGUCAUCAAUUCUGGUGUGCAUUCAAAUGAUCUAUGGACCUCUUUCAAAAAUCUCUGUAUCUGGCCCAUCCUCCUGAGAUGAACUUAAGAAAACCCUGAACACCAUCAGAUCUGAAUUUCUGACCUGUUAUCAUUUUCUUCUCCCUGAAGAACUUCUUUGAACAAUUCUUACAAGAGCAUUCAGAAAGGAACGCCGUGCCUUGUGGACAGAACACCUUGAUUUUAGCCCAGCAAGAUCCGUGACAGACUACUGACCUCCAGAACUGUAAGCUAACAAAUUUUCAUUGUUUUAAACUGUGAGGUUUGUAGUCAUUUGCUAUGACAGUAAAGAAAACUAAUUCAGCAUAUUAAAUUUCAUGAACUAUUGCUAUAUUUCCCUCCAAAGUGCUAUACUGUGCUAUCAGUGUAUGAGAGUCUCUGAGACCCCUUAACCUUUGUAAACCUAGAUUAUAGUCAGACUUAAAUUUUUGUCUGCUGAGUUUGUAAAGCUGUGUCGUUCUAAUUUGGGCACAGUUUUAACUUUCAUUUCCCUAAUAAUAUGUGGGGUGGAGCAUCUUACUUCUAUUUUAUUGGCUAUUUGAACAUCUCUUCUUGAAUAUCUUGCUCAUGUAUA
Molecule: long non-coding RNA, 1838 nt
Organism: Herpailurus yagouaroundi (jaguarundi)
Lineage: Eukaryota; Metazoa; Chordata; Mammalia; Carnivora; Felidae
Exons: 5
Source: RefSeq, a predicted model, not a curated record